Molecule: unclassified non-coding RNA, 1372 nt
Filed under: Hevea brasiliensis (rubber tree)
Lineage: Eukaryota; Viridiplantae; Streptophyta; Magnoliopsida; Malpighiales; Euphorbiaceae
Source: RNAcentral
UUAAAUUUAUAGCAUGAAGCAUUAAUUUGCCUGAUCUAUUUUUUUUAAUUUUAAACUAUUUUCAAAAUUAAUUUUAGUAAAAUACAUUAGUAAUUAGAAAAUAACAUUAAAGAAACUUUAGGAUUCAUUAAUGCUUGUAAUUAUAAUGUUGGUUCUUUACUAUCGAUAUAUAGUUAUUUUUGUUUUAGAUUGAUUAAUGCUAAUGAUGUCUAAGAAUGAUGGAUUUAAUGUUUUUAUUUAACAUAUUUAUGCUUAUUAUUUAGUUGCACAUCUUAUUUUUACUUGUAUUUUUAAAUAUCUAUUUCCUCCAUGAACUUUGCGAAUUUUUCAAAAGAAUUUUCGCAGCGAUAGGCUGUUACAGUUACAUUAUGGCCAUCAUAAGCUUGUUUCUAUUACGAGCGACCGCAACUACGAACACAGCCACGACCGCGAUUUAAAUCCAUGGCUCUUCUUCUUUUUGUACCCACAGACCCAUGCCCGCCCACUCCUCGCAUUUCCAACUCUCGCAGGUCCAUAGCACAAGCAAAACUACCCAUCACCACUGUACUAACAUGGGUUCUAUAUAGUGCCAAAGUCUGUUGCAACAAUAUACCCUAGGUGUGCCUCUUCAGCAGCAAACAAAGGACAGGAGGAAAAGUGCAAAUGACAUGCAAUCCUGAAACCUAGGUUUGUUUGAAUUUAUUUGGCUUUUUAUGAUUGUUGGAUUUGUUUGAUUGCUGCGUUUGCUUGGAAAAUAAAAAGGGUUUGAUUGUUGAAAUUUUUAUUUUGAUAAUAGAAAAUAUGGGAUUAUGCAAUUGUUGAAAUGGGUUUGUUGAAAUUUGAUGUCAAAAUUUUGAUUUGAAAUGUUGAAAAUUUUAGUUUGAAUGUUGAAUGGGAGAUAAAUUUUAUGAAUUAUAACUUUAUGAGUGAUUUUUUGUAUUCCAACUCUGUCAAGCAUCAAGGAAAGAAAUGGAAUAUAGCAGAAGAACCGAUAGGUUAAAACCGAACCGAUUUCUUUUGAUUUGAUUCAGUUAGGUUGGCUUUCUUAGUUAGGUUUGGUUUCCCAUAAAAUGUAUUUCAGCUCUUCGAUUUUUUGGUUUGAUUUGGUUCAAAAUCGAACUGAUCAAUUAUACACAUCUAGUUUUAAGUCUUGCCAGAGUACAGUUUUGGAAUUGUCACUGACCAAUGAUGCGUUGCUUAUGAUGAAUAAACAAAUACUCUUCAAAUAAUUUUGCUAAAUUAUUUGAGAAAUCAACUGGAAAAAUUCCAAUUGCGGAAGAAAUUUGUUAUAGAAGUUAUGCAAUGAUUGCAUGGGCAAUAUUUUUUCCAAGGCAUGUUCUUUAGAUUGAUAAAGAUAGAUAGUACCAACCUGCAACUUGGGCACUCUGGUAGC